RNAcentral lists this unclassified non-coding RNA (256 nucleotides) under Hevea brasiliensis (rubber tree). The record is from RNAcentral. Lineage: Eukaryota; Viridiplantae; Streptophyta; Magnoliopsida; Malpighiales; Euphorbiaceae.
GUAUGUGUACAGGGUCUCAUCUCUCCAGUUCUUUUUUACUUUUCCCCGCCAAUGGCCUGGUUUCCGUGCUCAUGUGCAGAGGGGCCUGUUUCUUUUUUGCGCCCCAUUAGGUUAGUGCAUGUGUUUGUUACAGUUGCAGAUGACGUUGGUAGUGAUCAUUGUUAUGGGCAAAAGCCUCCUGAAAUUUUGUGAAUACAAGAUCUCUGAUGCACACACUAGUCCUUGUUAGUGCGAUUAUUUCUCACUGCCUUCGGAC